AUAAUAGACCCGUUGGUUUCGACCCAAAUAUAGGUAGAUAUACCCUAUUAUG
Molecule: transfer RNA, 52 nt
Filed under: Falcidens acutargatus
Lineage: Eukaryota; Metazoa; Mollusca; Caudofoveata; Chaetodermatida; Chaetodermatidae
Description: tRNA-Arg
Source: RNAcentral